GAUGAAGAACGUAGCGAAAUGCGAUACUUGGUGUGAAUUGCAGAAUCCCGUGAACCAUCGAGUCUUUGAACGCAAGUUGCGCCUCAAGCCACUAGGUUGAGGGCACGUCUGCCUGGGCGUCACAUAUCGUUGCCUGAUGCCAGUUUCCUCGUGAUGGGUGACUGUGCAGGGCGAAUGAUGGCUUCCCGUGAGCAUUGUUGCCUCAUGGUUGGUUGAAAAUUGAGUCCUUGGUAGGGAGCGCCGUGAUAGAUGGUGGUUGAGUGACAAACGAGACCCAAUCAUGUGAGACCCCUACCGAAUUUGGCCUUCAUGACCCACAUGCGUCUUUGGAACGCUCAUGACGAGACCUCAGGUCAGGCGGGGCUACCCGCUGAGUUUAAGCAUAUCAAUAAGCGGAGGA
RNAcentral lists this unclassified non-coding RNA (400 nucleotides) under soil metagenome. RNAcentral's name for it is "partial contains 5.8S ribosomal RNA, internal transcribed spacer 2, and large subunit ribosomal RNA". The stretch from base 1 to 122 matches the Rfam family "5.8S ribosomal RNA", at positions 35 to 154 of the family's 154-position model. The record is from RNAcentral.